CCCUGUUUUGCGUAGUACGAGAAAAACCUAUAUCGCUAAUUAACAGGGAUAUCGUAUUUAGCCAUGGUAAAAAAGACACAGGUCUCUGGAUAAUUUAUCAGAAGACUCCUUGGCGCUCUUUAACGUUACCGUUUUUCACUACAACUGCGCCUUUGUGAAAAGAGUGAGUAAAAAUCCCAGGACAGAGACGAAACAAUCAAACAGUCAAUGCCAGCAUAAACCAAUGAUCCGACGAGUGCUAUAUAAAAGACAUUCAGUCUACUCCGUCGCCUGAUGAAGACUAGCAGGUUGAAACUGCCUCAAUCGUGAGACAUAUGAAUAAAUACCAUUUAUAUAGAGUGAAGUCUUUUCGACUUUCAAAUUUAGUUAUCAGUUUUUCUAAGUUUAGUUUAGUCGAGCGAGGGUAGAAACAGCUUCGCUACCUUCGAAUCUUCAAGACUAAUUAUCCAUCCCACCAACAAAAAAGAGGAACUAAAAACAAUAUUGAAAAGCGAGACGUAAAAAUGCGGAAAUCGAACUUACCGAUAAAUGACAAAAAAUAACAUUUUCUAGCGGCUGCCAGAGGCGGCUUUCAGUUCGACCCCGAUGAGCUGCGCCAAUGCUGUGUUUGCAGUGGUAAAUAGCGAUAACAAGUUUUUUACCCGACUGUUUUUGUGAUAACAAUUUUCCACGAAUGUAAAGAUAACAUUCUUUGGUUCAAAGAGAAUCAGAUGUUUUGAGUUUUUCAACGGGGUAUGUUAGCAUCUGAUACCGAGAAAGGUUCUCAUCUCAGAAAGACGGAAUCGGAUAAGAUAAGUCAAAAACAGUAACACCAAGAUAAAAAGAAGAAAUAACAAAACCACAAGAUAAGAUUUUAGAUUAUACAAUUACUAAGUAGUUUUUCGUCUCGAAAAUAAAUGAAAACCAAAAAUAUCUGAAUAUAUUUUGUUACCAAGAACAAUUUGAUUCUCCGAUUUCAAUUUCACUGCAAUAAAACACGAGAAUGAAUGCGUAAUACGCGGGUUUGUCUUAAUAAGAAAAAGAGAGAGAUAUAUAAAAGAACAAGACAGUAUAGUAUAACAAUUGCGCAACCAUUUACUGUUAGCUUAAAAUCUUAAAAAACAGUGAUGUGUGCAAAAAAAUCACGAUAGCAAUUCUAAAACGUUGAGCAAAGGAAUACGCAUGUCUGAACGACGACGUGUGAAAAACCACUAGUGAGUAUUUUAUAGAAUGAAAUUAUUCAUAAAGCUCGGUGUUAUCGAAGUAAAAUAAAAGUUAGUUAGCACUACAUCAAGAUUAAAAUGACGAGCUGACCUCGCAAAGCCACACUUUGCGCACUUACUUGCGGGUGACGCGCGCGCUCGUCCUCAACACACGAAACGGUGCGCGCGUCACGUAUCAAAAGCGCGCAAAAAUAAUAUUAAGGAAUAUCCAGCACGAUAAAUGAUGAAGUAGAGAUUCCUGAGACUUCUUCCUUGGCUCUGAGUGACGUUUUCUCGACAUGAGGUCUACUGACCAAGCUGACAUUGAAGCCAUCUUGUCUAAACGUUAGAUGUACACGGAUCAUUAAACAUCCAAGCUCCCUUUUCCUAACCCCGCUCAAUGACGCACGUUCUACAUAAAUCAGCAUGUAUUUUCCGUCAUCCCAGGUAUAGCACCAAUAUACUUAAACAACGGAUUAUUGGCCUUGGGUUAAGGCGAUAUCAACUACGUAUUCAAGGAUUAAAUAAGAUUACGUCCUAAAAGUGUUUGGCACCAAAAUAUAGCUUCCUUACGUGGACUUGGUGCACGUAAUAACAAAUUUAACGCAUAUUUAUAUUUCAAAGGGAAGUUAUAUAUCUGUUACUCAUUAAGCCAAGAAAAGUGACAAUUCCAUUUAAAAAACUAAGACGUUUGCUACGAAAAGAUUGAAGCCUUGAGUUACCAACCUAUAUGUCACUUGAGUUGAUGUUUAGUAAGAUGUCAGUAGUCUGUUUUGGUUCCGCAUCCCAUAACACGUUUAAUCACGUUACCUAGGAGACCAUCCAGACCUUAUCUGACACAGUUUUCCCGUGACUAGUACAUGAUACUCGUUGCUUAGAUACAUCAUCAGGUUACCUAGGCAACGAUAAAUGCAUGUUGCCUAGGUAACCACGUAUGUCAAUCAGGACUCUGUCCUGUAUCAUGUCCAAGAUUAACUAAUCAAACAACGACAAGUUUGGAUCCGUAAACCCAAAUGGUUUGUUUUAAAAACCAAAUAGAAUUAACGAAUAUGACAAUGUUGUGUCACGAAAAUUUGGAAGGGAGGAAGACUAUGGAUAACUUUUAAGUAUUAAUGUGAUAUUAAAUUUUUAAUUAUAAAUUAUUAAGUUAGGUAUUGAACAAUACAUUGAUAAGACUUAAGGAGUAGUUGCUCAAUCUCCCAGGCUCCUGACUCAAGUAAUAGAUUUUUGUGUGUGGAGAGUGGUCAUGUUUUACAUGGCAAAAACUAAAACAAACUAUUUCAUUCUUGUGGAAUAGCCGAAACACUUCAAUAUUAUAGUUUAAGAAUAUAUCAAAAACACUUAUCCUUUUUCUGCAGAGUUACGUGAACAAAUUCUAGUCUAGACUCUAGGCAGACAAAUGUAGCUAGGCAUUUAUUGGGAUUCCUGUGGAGCUGGCUCCACAGGCAGCCCAAAGAAAAUAUUAUGAUGUUUCUGAUGGUGUUUGGUAGUCUUACCUGUUCUUCAUUGAAUUCCAUUGGAUUGUGAUGCUUCCAUAAUAUUAGGCCAUGAAAUUUCUCUAUCUUGAAAGUGUUUGAAACUAAAAUAAAACAUUACAAUCAGCA
Actinia tenebrosa (Australian red waratah sea anemone) is the source of this 2785-nucleotide long non-coding RNA. RefSeq lists it as uncharacterized. Lineage: Eukaryota; Metazoa; Cnidaria; Anthozoa; Actiniaria; Actiniidae. The record is from RefSeq and is a predicted model, not a curated record.